Sapajus apella (tufted capuchin) is the source of this 151-nucleotide long non-coding RNA. RefSeq lists it as uncharacterized. The transcript has 3 exons. The record is from RefSeq and is a predicted model, not a curated record. NCBI's taxonomy places the organism in Eukaryota, Metazoa, Chordata, Mammalia, Primates, Cebidae.
GCUUCCAUUCUCCCCAUCUUCUGGUACUCCAAUCAAUCAUAGGCUCAGUCUUUUUAUGAAGUCCCAUACUUCCUAGAGGCUUUGUUAGUUGCUUUUCAUUCUUUUUUCUCUAUUCUUGUCUACAUGUCUUAUUUCAGCAAGAUCUUCUUUC